AAUUUCUAUUGUGUCCAAUUAGAUUCUUAUCUUUCAUGAUAUUCAUACACUUAUUCAAAUAAUAAUUAAAACAAAAUAAUCGUUAUAUACAACAAUGUUGCAAAUGAUAUAAAAUUUUUUUGAUAAAUUUAAAUAUUGAUUCAAUAUUCGAAUUGAUAUAAUUAGUUUGUUACUACAAAUUGAGAGAUCAACAUGGUGACGAAAAUGUCACGUUAUCGUGAAUGGGAUCUUUCAUGUAAAGUUUAUGUCGGUAAUUUAGGAAAUAGUGCUAGUAAACAUGAAAUUGAAAGUGCAUUUAGUAAAUAUGGUCCACUUAGAAAUGUGUGGGUUGCUAGAAAUCCACCGGGAUUUGCUUUUGUAGAAUUUGAAGAUCCACGAGAUGCAGAAGAUGCAGUUAGGGGAUUAGAUGGAACACGCUGUUGUGGAACUAGAGUAAGAGUAGAAAUGUCUUCAGGAAGAAGCAGACGUGGAGGUGGUGGACGAAGACCAGGUCCAAGAUAUUCCAGGUCCAGAUCUCGCAGUCCUCGAAGGAGAUCAUUGGGUCGUUAUCCAAGGUCCUGUUCAAGAAGUCCACGCAGAUCACCAAUAUGCCGAUAUUCCAGUGCUGGAGGAUUUCAACAGCAAGUCAACUAUGUGGGGUUUCCCAGCUAUGGACUCGAGGGAUUUUGAUGGACUGAGUAGCUAAUUUGGACUUCCAAUUGAACAAUUAGGAGGUCAAUUAGCACGUGCGUACGGUUCCAGAGUCAAGAUCCCGUAGCCCGCGCAGAAGAUCUUUAACCCGUAGUCGCAGCCGAGAUCGUCGUUCUCGUUCGGAUUCCCGUGACAGACGUUAGAUGCUAAAAGUAUUCCAGACAAUGGAUCUACUAAAUAUGGCAGAAAGAAGAUAAAAGAAAAAUGAUUUUAUAUGUAUAUAAAAAAGAUCGUUAUUACACGUACAUACAGUUUAACAAUUAUUAUUAUAA
This is an RNA transcript of Apis mellifera (honey bee), 962 nucleotides long. It is a transcript of the gene named RNA-binding protein 1, with no coding region annotated. The transcript is spliced from 8 exons. The record is from RefSeq and is a predicted model, not a curated record. NCBI's taxonomy places the organism in Eukaryota, Metazoa, Arthropoda, Insecta, Hymenoptera, Apidae.